CCUACGGGCGACAGCAGUGAGGAAUAUUGGUCAAUGGACGCAAGUCUGAACCAGCCAUGCCGCGUGCAGGAAGACGGCUCUAUGGGUUGUAAACUGCUUUUGUACGAGGGUAAACUCCGGUACGCGUGUCUGUCUGAAAGUAUCGUACGAAUAAGGAUCGGCUAACUCCGUGCCAGCAGCCGCGGUAAUACGGAGGAUUCAAGCGUUAUCCGGAUUUAUUGGGGUUAAAGGGUGCGUAGGCGGUCGGAUAAGUUAGAGGUGAAAUCCCGAGGCUCAACUUCGGAAUUGCCUCUGAAACUGUUCGGCUAGAGAGUAGUUGCGGUAGGCGGAAUGUAUGGUGUAGCGGUGAAAUGCUUAGAGAUCACACAGAACACCGAUUGCGAAGGCAGCAUACCAAGGCACGUCUGACGUUGAGGCACGAAAGCGUGGGGAGCAAACAGGAUUAGAUACCCCGGUAGUC
RNAcentral lists this ribosomal RNA (460 nucleotides) under uncultured bacterium. RNAcentral's name for it is "partial 16S ribosomal RNA". It matches the Rfam family "Bacterial small subunit ribosomal RNA", at positions 338 to 795 of the family's 1533-position model. The record is from RNAcentral.